This 254-nucleotide ribosomal RNA is filed under the name uncultured bacterium. RNAcentral's name for it is "partial 16S ribosomal RNA". It matches the Rfam family "Bacterial small subunit ribosomal RNA", at positions 524 to 776 of the family's 1533-position model. The record is from RNAcentral.
GACGGAGGGGGCAAGCGUUGUUCGGAAUUAUUGGGCGUAAAGGGCGCGUAGGCGGACUGAUUAGUCUGGCGUGAAAUCUCCACCGCUCACCGGGGAGGGGCCGCUGGAAACUGUCAGUCUUGAGUUCGGCAGAGGGCCAUGGAAUUCCGCAUGUAGCGGUGGAAUGCGUAGAUAUGCGGAAGAACACCGGUGGCGAAGGCGGUGGCCUGGGCCGAAACUGACGCUGAGGCGCGAAAGCCAGGGGAGCAAACGGG